UCCGGCUGAUGUGCUCCAGGUGGGCAUGCUCUGAGGUGUCCAAGUCAAUCUCAUACUUGGCUAGGAUUUUGAGGAUGGGCCUCAGCUUCAGCCACCAUUGUUCCUUGGGGAUGCGGUGCCUACAGAGGAAUGAGGUCUGGUUUCAGGUCACCUCAUCGCCAUCACAUGAGGACUGGCAGACUUCAGCUCUGCUUCUGGCUCUGGCUCCCAUCCUCGGGCAACACGAGGAGCCAGUCUGCAGAUACCUGGGUCCCACCAUCAUUAUUGGAGCCAGAGUUCGGAGGAGUGACUCAUGGAGACAAGAAACCCAGACAAAUCAGACACAGCAACGUAACUGGGAGACUUUCUCAAGGCCUAUGGGAGUCUCUUUUGGACAUCUGCAGUCCUGGAGUAUAAAUCUUCAAUCUUAAGAAAUAAAAAAAAUUCUUCUGAAAUGUAGAGGUUGGAAUGCUGUCUCCUGCUCCCGAGGUAAGUAAGUGUAGGGUAAGAUUUAAGGAAAACAAAUGACUUCAAAGGUUUUAAGUGUAAAGCAAACAAUAGACAGUGGGCAGGGAAAAUCCAAAUCCAUGGGGCAGAAGAAAAACCCCAUGACAAAAGAAGAUUUUUUUUCUCUUUUCUCCUUCUUACCUUAGCCCUGCCAACCUCCAGAGGGUUUAACUUUGGUGUAAGGUCAUCCUUCCUGCCUCUGAACCGGAUACCUGAGUGUUUUCCCAGAAAUCAAGUUUUAAGACCCCUUCUGUAAGCCUGUACCUGUGUCUCAAACCCCUAGUUCCCUAGAAAUCACAGACUGGGCUGUAUAGACAGCUUACACUAGAAAGUCCCAGUAAUUCUUUGGGCUCUCCUACUUAACAUCACUGGCCUAUUCUGGCCCCAGGCCAGUCCUGGCCAGGCUCUCCUUGGCUGUUCCAUGUUGCCCUAAAUAACCCUCUAUGAGCAGCUGUCUGACUUAUUAGAAGCAAAAAGAAGGAUAAGAUUACAGGCACCAUCCCAGGGGUACUCUGGGUACAGCCAGGAGGAGGGCUCUGGAGAACAUCAGAAACACGUACUUUGGAGUCUCCAAUUACAGCCUGCCGGGAAGAGGCUUUAAGGAGAACUACAGGUGAUGGGUCUCUAUAAUGUGAGAUAGAAAAAAACUAAUAAAUGACUUGGUCACUACCUUUUUGCUAAAAAGUUUCUUUCUACCUUAACUGAACUUCAAAGAAAAAAAGGACGCGAGGAGCAAAUGUUUGUUAGAUGUGAAUUAUACUUUCUGAUGGAUAGGUAAUUAAAAAUUGUAAAUCCUAGAACAGCAAUCCAGAGAGGGCAUAGAAUCCUGUUCCUAUGAACCUUUAAAAAUAGGCUAAACAUGCAUUGGAAUGGACUGCCUGUCUGAAGACAGAGGGAUAGAGCAGAUGACUGAGGUCUUUUCCAGCAGAAUAUGCUGAUUGCAUUGGGCCAAUCGCAGCAUGGUUGUAAGAGGACUGGGACCACUUCUGGGCUGGAAAGGGAGUUAGGAUUUAGUAUCUAGCUCAGGAUGUCUGCUUCCUGGCCAUUCUCCUACUUUAGGAGGUUAUUAGCCUUGCUAAGCCCAGGGAAUGACGGAGCUGAGGCCCCUCUGGAUUUUAUAGAACCCAAGAAGCCCACAGCCUCCAGGGAAAAACAUUUCUGUGCCCUCUCCCUGGGAGAACUAGGGCCCAUUAAACCUCUCUGUGCAGGCCAAUUCUGUAUUUGAGAUGCUCUUUCAGCUGGGACCUCUCAGCUCUACUUUGAGUUUUCUGUUUUGCUUCCUUGCCUCCCUAGAAUCCCAUCCUCUACCACUCUCAUCCCCAUUGACAUGCCCCUGUGAUGUUAUGUGCAUUUGCAGUGGGAUGUUUCCCUGGACACACUGUGCCUGUCUCAGAAUCCCAUAGGCCUUAGUCCAGUUGGGCCCUCAGAAAUGAGCUUAUCAAUAGCCCCUGCUCCACAGAUGACAUUUCCCUUAAAGCAGGUGAUGGUCAUCUCCGGAAUAAGAGGGUCUCUCUGCUCAAGAUCAGGAGCUGGAAGGGCUCGGCCGCUCUUACACCAAAGUUAAACCCUAGGCCUUUUUUUUUCCCACCUCUUUCCCUCUGCAGAAAGCUCUGCUCUUUCAUAAUUUCAAAACUCUGUGUGCCUCACCUGGACUUUUUUAGCAGGUUCUCACUUCCCCUAAUCUGACAACCUAAUUCCACAGGCCAUCCUACCACGGUUUUAGGCUCAAUAGUCAGAGUUCAUGUUGAAGAACUCAGUACUGGCGUGGGAUUCUUUCCAGGAGAGAAGAGAGAAGCAACAGAAACCAAGUCAGCAGUCUCUAUGGCCUCAAGGACGGCUCUGCAUUCCUAAUCCAGCUACUAUUUCUAAACGCAGGUCUCUGCCCUCCUUCCUCAGUUUCCACAUUCUAGCAUUCUCCUGUUCGUAAUAUAUCACAAUUGUAACUCAAUAAACAUUAGUUUAUUUAA
Molecule: non-coding RNA, 2453 nt
Organism: Vicugna pacos (alpaca)
Lineage: Eukaryota; Metazoa; Chordata; Mammalia; Artiodactyla; Camelidae
Source: RefSeq, a predicted model, not a curated record